RNAcentral lists this transfer RNA (34 nucleotides) under Oncorhynchus masou masou (cherry salmon). RNAcentral's name for it is "partial tRNA-Glu". The record is from RNAcentral. Lineage: Eukaryota; Metazoa; Chordata; Actinopteri; Salmoniformes; Salmonidae.
GUUCUUGUAGUUGAAUAACAACGGUGGGUUUUUA